RNAcentral lists this ribosomal RNA (274 nucleotides) under uncultured bacterium. RNAcentral's name for it is "partial 16S ribosomal RNA". It matches the Rfam family "Bacterial small subunit ribosomal RNA", at positions 523 to 796 of the family's 1533-position model. The record is from RNAcentral.
AUACGGAGGGUGCAAGCGUUAUUCGGGAUCACUGGGCGUAAAGGACGCGUAGGCGGGUUGGCAAGUCAGAUGUGAAAUCCUACAGCUUAACUGUAGAACUGCAUUUGAAACUGCUAACCUAGAGUAUGGGAGGGGGAGAUGGAAUUAGUGGUGUAGGGGUAAAAUCCGUAGAUAUCACUAGGAAUACCGAAAGCGAAGGCGAUCUCCUGGAACAUAACUGACGCUAAGGCGUGAAAGCGUGGGGAGCAAACAGGAUUAGAAACCCUAGUAGUCC